UUGACGGUACCGGGUGAGGAAGCACCGGCUAACUCCGUGCCAGCAGCCGCGGUAAUACGGAGGGUGCAAGCGUUGUCCGGAAUCACUGGGCGUAAAGGGCGCGUAGCGGCUCAUAAAGGCUUGUGGUGAAAGUUCGGGGCUCAACCUCGAAUCGGCCGUGGCGACUUGUGGGCUGGAGCACUGUAGAGGCAGGUGGAAUUCCGGGUGUAGCGGUGCAAUGCGUAGAGAUCCGGAAGAACACCAGUGGCGAAGGCGGCCUGCUGGGCAGUGGCUGACGCUGAGGCGCGACAGCGUGGGGAGCAAACAGGAUUAGAUACCCUGGUAGUCCACGCCGUAAACGAUGGGCACUAGGUGCUUGGGGGAGCGACCCUCUGAGUGCCGGCGCUAACGCAUUAAGUGCCCCGCCUGGGGAGUACGGCCGCAAGGCUGAAACUCAAAGGAAUUGACGGGGGCCCGCACAAGCAGUGGAGCAUGUGGUUUAAUUCGACGCAACGCGAAGAACCUUACCUAGGCUUGACAUACACGAGAAACCCUCGAGAAACCGAGG
RNAcentral lists this ribosomal RNA (547 nucleotides) under uncultured Gemmatimonadota bacterium. Its description in RNAcentral is "bacterial SSU rRNA". It matches the Rfam family "Bacterial small subunit ribosomal RNA", at positions 469 to 1012 of the family's 1533-position model. Lineage: Bacteria; Pseudomonadati; Gemmatimonadota. The record is from RNAcentral.